UUAAGUCUUGACGAGUAAGAGGGUCGCGACGGUGAGCGCAGAAGGGUCAGGGCGAGAGCCUGCCUGGAGCCGCCGUUGGUGCAGAUCUUGGUGGUAGUAGCAAAUACUCUAGCGAGGGCCUGGAGGACUGACGUGGAGAAGGGUUUCUUGUGAACAGCCGUUGCACAAGAGUCAGUCGACCCUGAGCCCUAGGAGAAAUCCGAUGACGAUGGGUGGCUUGACAAUAUAUGCGCACACACAUUGAUUGAACAUACGUGUUCUCUGUGUAAGACAUAAUAUCGUAGACCACAGACUGUGUCUGUCGUUUGAGUUAUGCACAACGUGCUGCUUGCGACUGUACAGCUCCUAUUGGGCAAAAGGGAAUCCGGUUCCUAUUCCGGAACCUGGCUGCGUAACUGCAUCUUUGCGGGCACUUGCUUGCGAGCGCUCGUCGGGGUAACCCAAACUGGCCUGGAGACGCCGGCGGGGGGUCUGGAAAGAGUUUUCUUUUCUUUAUAAGCGUUCGAGUACCCUGGAAUCCUAUAGCAGGGAGAUAGGGUUUGGAACGCGAAGAGCACCGCAGUUGCGGCGGUGUCCGGACCUUCCCCCCGGACCUUGAAAAUCCAGGUGAGGGCCACGCGGAAGUCGCGCCAG
This 633-nucleotide ribosomal RNA is filed under the name Sogatella furcifera (white-backed planthopper). RNAcentral's name for it is "eukaryotic LSU rRNA". It matches the Rfam family "Eukaryotic large subunit ribosomal RNA", at positions 1367 to 1840 of the family's 3401-position model. Lineage: Eukaryota; Metazoa; Arthropoda; Insecta; Hemiptera; Delphacidae. The record is from RNAcentral.